GUAACGGUUAGGAAAGUAAAAUAUACGUGCGCUGAGAGAAUAUUAUAUGUGCAAUUGUAUCCAUUUAUUAUAUCUUUAAUCGCGAAUAUCAAUUAUUAUAAUCACAACAUGAACACAAUGGCCAGAUAGUAAGCAGAUAAAAGAAAAUUUGAAAUCGAUACAUUAUGAAUUUUAGUAACUUUUGUACUAACAAUCCUUCACUAUGUUGAUAACAAUCAUUUAUUCUGUGGUACAUAUCAUAUUUAUUCAUCGCUCUUAUUAAACGUAAGUCUCUCUCAACUCCAAUACCAUCAAACUGUUCUUCCAGCUACAUAAAAUCCUCGGAACAAUCCAGACAAUCGGUGAGCAACGUGUCAAACCAAUAUCAGCAUAAACAAAAAUCCAGUCUUCGUGUAAGUCGCGAGAGGAUCAAGACGGCGGCACCAGACGAUCCUCAGACCGGGGCGAAAAUACGCUGGAAAACAGAAGGAAAACGGAAUGUCGCGCCGCGUCUGGUUGCGGGUGGAAAGUUAAGUGCAUUUCGCGAAACAGCAGAGAUUCCUUUGAAGCCUCGUUCCGCGAGGAUAAGAAAGGGUUCACUGUCCGCUCCUUUUUCUCUCUCUCUCUUUCUCUUUCUCUUUCUCUCCUCUUUUCUCUAUUCUCUUUCCUUCUCUCUCUGUAAUCCUCUCUUGUACGUUUUCGCGCGGGGUGACAUGCAGAUGCCGAGCUCAGCCUUUAAACUCGAAGCUGCUUUCACCCCAGUCCUCGUCACACCGGAGGUCCCGUCGACUCGGAUCAAGCUUUCCGCCAUUCGUCUCUGUACGCAAGCUACCUAACCUCUCCGCGAGAUUUUCUAUCGAACAACAGCGAGCCCACGCGGCUAUAAAUAAUCGGUAUCCUUCGUUGCUUGUACCACCGUCUCCCUUGUGACGAUUUUUGAUUUACUAUUUAGGUACUUUGCGCCGUAAAGCGAUACAAUGCCGAGAAAAUCGCGACGUCUACGGUCCCCAUGGAAUAUGGCGGAGGGAUUGGCUCGGGACUGGGGUUUGCCCGUGACAGUGAGAUAAGAGAUUGCUGCGGAGGUGUAUUGGGAUUGGCGAAUGUUUCGUGAUUAUGAUUGAAUGGUUCACGUAAUUCGAUAUUAAUUUUUAGGGUGUUUUUAGGUCGAGAUCAUUGUUUGGAGAGCGUGGAAUCUAGAUUGAAGUUAGGAUAAGGAUCUGAUUUGAAACUGGAGAAACGUUUAGAAUUUAUUGAUUUAGGGAGACUGUUUGAUUUUUUU
Molecule: unclassified non-coding RNA, 1258 nt
Filed under: Bombus terrestris (buff-tailed bumblebee)
Lineage: Eukaryota; Metazoa; Arthropoda; Insecta; Hymenoptera; Apidae
Description: misc RNA ENSBTSG00005024803.1
Source: RNAcentral